GCCGGGGUGGCGGAAUGGUAGACGCGGCGGUCUCAAAAACCGCUGGGUGAAAGCUCGUGCGGGUUCGAGUCCCGCCCCCGGCACCA
This 86-nucleotide transfer RNA is filed under the name Armatimonadota bacterium. RNAcentral describes it as "Armatimonadetes bacterium (activated sludge metagenome) tRNA-Leu". It matches the Rfam family "tRNA". From Rfam's summary of the family: Transfer RNA (tRNA) molecules are approximately 80 nucleotides in length. Their secondary structure includes four short double-helical elements and three loops (D, anti-codon, and T loops). The record is from RNAcentral. Lineage: Bacteria; Bacillati; Armatimonadota.